Long non-coding RNA from Pongo pygmaeus (Bornean orangutan), 237 nucleotides. RefSeq lists it as uncharacterized. The transcript is spliced from 3 exons. The record is from RefSeq and is a predicted model, not a curated record. NCBI's taxonomy places the organism in Eukaryota, Metazoa, Chordata, Mammalia, Primates, Hominidae.
AAACAAGCUUAUGGAUGCUCUAAAACAUGCUUCUAAUAUGCUGGGUGAACUCUGGACUUCUAUGUUAUCACCAGAGAGCUACUAUGAACUUUAUAUGGCCAUUUCUGAUGAACUGCACUACUUGGAGGUCUACCUGACAGAUGAGUUUGCUAAAGGAAGGAAAGUGGCAGAUCUCUAUGAACUUGUACAGUAUGCUGGAAGCAUUAUCCCAAGGCUUUACCUUUUGAUCACAGUUGG